AUACGGAGGGUGCGAGCGUUAAUCGGAAUUACUGGGCGUAAAGCGUGCGUAGGCGGUUUGCUAAGUCAGAUGUGAAAGCCCCGGGCUUAACCUGGGAACUGCAUCUGAUACUGGCAGACUAGAGUAUGAUAGAGGGGGGUAGAAUUCCUGGUGUAGCGGUGAAAUGCGUAGAUAUCAGGAGGAAUACCAGUGGCGAAGGCGGCCCCCUGGAUCAAUACUGACGCUGAGGUACGAAAGCGUGGGGAGCGAACAGGAUUAGAAACCCGAGUAGUCC
RNAcentral lists this ribosomal RNA (274 nucleotides) under uncultured bacterium. RNAcentral describes it as "partial 16S ribosomal RNA". It matches the Rfam family "Bacterial small subunit ribosomal RNA", at positions 523 to 796 of the family's 1533-position model. The record is from RNAcentral.